This 448-nucleotide ribosomal RNA is filed under the name Peptostreptococcus stomatis. RNAcentral's name for it is "bacterial SSU rRNA". It matches the Rfam family "Bacterial small subunit ribosomal RNA", at positions 39 to 454 of the family's 1533-position model. Lineage: Bacteria; Bacillati; Bacillota; Clostridia; Peptostreptococcales; Peptostreptococcaceae. The record is from RNAcentral.
GCGGCGUGCCUAACACAUGCAAGUCGAGCGAGGGUUUGCUCAGUAUUGAGUAUUCUAAGACUAGAGUGUUCAAUUCUGAGCAAAACCAAGCGGCGGACGGGUGAGUAACGCGUGGGUAACCUGCCCUAUACACAUGGAUAACAUACUGAAAAGUUUACUAAUACAUGAUAAUAUAUAUUUGCGGCAUCGCAGAUAUAUCAAAGUGUUAGCGGUAUAGGAUGGACCCGCGUCUGAUUAGCUAGUUGGUGAGAUAACUGCCCACCAAGGCGGCGAUCAGUAGCCGACCUGAGAGGGUGAUCGGCCACAUUGGAACUGAGACACGGUCCAAACUCCUACGGGAGGCAGCAGUGGGGAAUAUUGCACAAUGGGCGAAAGCCUGAUGCAGCAACGCCGCGUGAACGAUGAAGGUCUUCGGAUCGUAAAGUUCUGUUGCAGGGGAAGAUAAUGA